Molecule: long non-coding RNA, 146 nt
Organism: Corapipo altera (White-ruffed manakin)
Lineage: Eukaryota; Metazoa; Chordata; Aves; Passeriformes; Pipridae
Exons: 3
Source: RefSeq, a predicted model, not a curated record
ACCCUGCCCUCUGGCAGUGAGAAGCCAUUCCCCCUUGUCCUGUCACUUCAGGCCCUUGUCCAAAGUCCUUCUGCAGCUCUCUUGGAGCCCCUUUAGGGACAGGAAAGGGCUCUAAGGUCUGCCUGGAGUUCCUUUUCUCCAGGAUG